ACUCCUACGGGAGGCAGCAGUGGGGAAUUUUGGACAAUGGGCGAAAGCCUGAUCCAGCAAUGCCGCGUGAGUGAAGAAGGCCUUCGGGUUGUAAAGCUCUUUUGUCAGGGAAGAAACGGUGAAAGCUAAUAUCUUUUGCUAAUGACGGUACCUGAAGAAUAAGCACCGGCUAACUACGUGCCAGCAGCCGCGGUAAUACGUAGGGUGCAAGCGUUAAUCGGAAUUACUGGGCGUAAAGCGUGCGCAGGCGGUUUUGUAAGUCUGAUGUGAAAUCCCCGGGCUCAACCUGGGAAUUGCAUUGGAGACUGCAAGGCUAGAAUCUGGCAGAGGGGGGUAGAAUUCCACGUGUAGCAGUGAAAUGCGUAGAUAUGUGGAGGAACACCGAUGGCGAAGGCAGCCCCCUGGGUCAAGAUUGACGCUCAUGCACGAAAGCGUGGGGAGCAAACAGGAUUAGAUACCCGAGUAGUCCCAUGA
Molecule: ribosomal RNA, 474 nt
Filed under: uncultured organism
Description: partial 16S ribosomal RNA
Rfam family: Bacterial small subunit ribosomal RNA
Source: RNAcentral